This 301-nucleotide ribosomal RNA is filed under the name uncultured bacterium. RNAcentral's name for it is "partial 16S ribosomal RNA". It matches the Rfam family "Bacterial small subunit ribosomal RNA", at positions 509 to 809 of the family's 1533-position model. The record is from RNAcentral.
CAGUCGCCGCGGUAAUACGUAGGGUGCGAGCGUUAAUCGGAAUUACUGGGCGUAAAGCGUGCGCAGGCGAUUUUGUAAGACAGGCGUGAAAUCCCCGGGCUCAACCUGGGAAUGGCGCUUGUGACUGCAAAGCUAGAGUGCGGCAGAGGGGGAUGGAAUUCCGCGUGUAGCAGUGAAAUGCGUAGAUAUGCGGAGGAACACCGAUGGCGAAGGCAAUCCCCUGGGCCUGCACUGACGCUCAUGCACGAAAGCGUGGGGAGCAAACAGGAUUAGAUACCCCUGUAGUCCCUGUCUCUUAUAA